Molecule: long non-coding RNA, 573 nt
Filed under: Monodelphis domestica (gray short-tailed opossum)
Lineage: Eukaryota; Metazoa; Chordata; Mammalia; Didelphimorphia; Didelphidae
Description: lncRNA (ENSMODG00000032662.2)
Source: RNAcentral
GAAGUGCUGCUGAGUCUUCUCUAUUUGAUGGGGGAGGGACAACAGGAGGUUUGGAAUCUUAAGGAGCAAGAAGGUUCUGACUGGAAGAUAGAUAGUUCUCUCAGCCUUGAAAUGGAAAAGGGGAAGGUCUGACCAAGACUUGAUCCUGAGAAAAGACUCAUCUUUUUCUCCUGGUGACUGGACAUCCUUCCCCCCAUCAAUUCCCAACCAAAGUGGCCAGCUGGAGAAGACAACAAAGACUCUCUACCAUUCUUAUGCUAACAGUCUGUAUGAUGAAGCUUCCAGGAUUCUUCUUUUGAUCAUGUGGGUACUCCCUCUACUGGUGAACAUAGGACUCCUACACUGGAGAAUACUAUCUUCAAGACUUUCUGUGGCUGGGAAAAAUCAAUGUAUUCUAAAGAGAUACUCAGCCCUUGCCUACAGUGAUGCACUGAAGAGUCUCUUUCUUGGAUAUUCUGAACUGAUCAUUUAAUCCAAGUUCCUUAAGGAUGACCCAUCUGUCAAGUCUGAUGGCCCUGACCUAGUCUGGAAUUCAUAUAUUUCUACAAACAAAUGUGCAUGCUUUGACCAUCU